RNAcentral lists this transfer RNA (88 nucleotides) under Eggerthella sp. YY7918. Its description in RNAcentral is "tRNA-Ser (TGA) (tRNA-Ser-TGA-1-1)". It matches the Rfam family "tRNA". From Rfam's summary of the family: Transfer RNA (tRNA) molecules are approximately 80 nucleotides in length. Their secondary structure includes four short double-helical elements and three loops (D, anti-codon, and T loops). Further hydrogen bonds mediate the characteristic L-shaped molecular structure. tRNAs have two regions of fundamental functional importance: the anti-codon, which is responsible for specific mRNA codon recognition, and the 3' end, to which the tRNAs corresponding amino acid is attached (by aminoacyl-tRNA synthetases). tRNAs cope with the degeneracy of the genetic code in two manners: having more than one tRNA (with a specific anti-codon) for a particular amino acid; and 'wobble' base-pairing, i.e. permitting non-standard base-pairing at the 3rd anti-codon position. The record is from RNAcentral. Lineage: Bacteria; Bacillati; Actinomycetota; Coriobacteriia; Eggerthellales; Eggerthellaceae.
GGAGGCGUGGCCGAGUGGUUGAAGGCGGCAGUCUUGAAAACUGUUGUACCGCAAGGUACCGUGGGUUCAAAUCCUACCGCCUCCGCCA